GAUGAGCGCUAGCUACAGGCUUAACACAUGCAAGUCGAGGGGAAACGACAUCGAAAGCUUGCUUUUGAUGGGCGUCGACCGGCGCACGGGUGAGUAACGCGUAUCCAACCUGCCCACCACUUGGGGAUAACCUUGAGAAAGUAAGACUAAUACCCAAUGACGUCUCUAGAAGACAUCUGAAGGAGAUUAAAGAUUUAUCGGUGAUGGAUGGGGAUGCGUCUGAUUAGCUUGUUGGCGGGGUAACGGCCCACCAAGGCGACGAUCAGUAGGGGUUCUGAGAGGAAGGUCCCCCACAUUGGAACUGAGACACGGUCCAAACUCCUACGGGAGGCAGCAGUGAGGAAUAUUGGUCAAUGGGCGAGAGCCUGAACCAGCCAAGUAGCGUGCAGGAUGACGGCCCUAUGGGUUGUAAACUGCUUUUAUAAGGGAAUAAAGUGAGUCUCGUGAGACUUUUUGCAUGUACCUUAUGAAUAAGGACCGGCUAAUUCCGUGCCAGCCGCCGCCGUAA
This 508-nucleotide ribosomal RNA is filed under the name uncultured bacterium. Its description in RNAcentral is "partial 16S ribosomal RNA". It matches the Rfam family "Bacterial small subunit ribosomal RNA", at positions 28 to 523 of the family's 1533-position model. The record is from RNAcentral.